UGUAGGGGCAGGGAGGACUGUUGUAAGAUUAGGGAGAACUGUUGUGGGAGUAUGGAGGACUGUUGUAGGGGUAGGGAGUACUGUUGUAGGGGUAUGGAGGACUGUUGUGGGGGUAGGGAGGACUGUUGUAGGUGUAGAGAGGACUGUUGUAGGGGUAGGAAGUACUGUUGUCAGAGUAGGGAGUACUGUUGUAGAGGUAGGGAGGACUGUUGUAGAGGUAGGAAGUAAUGUUGUCAGAGUAGGAUGUACUCUUGUAG
This is a long non-coding RNA of Oncorhynchus tshawytscha (Chinook salmon), 257 nucleotides long. NCBI's taxonomy places the organism in Eukaryota, Metazoa, Chordata, Actinopteri, Salmoniformes, Salmonidae. The record is from Ensembl.